This 509-nucleotide ribosomal RNA is filed under the name uncultured bacterium. RNAcentral's name for it is "bacterial SSU rRNA". It matches the Rfam family "Bacterial small subunit ribosomal RNA", at positions 501 to 1009 of the family's 1533-position model. The record is from RNAcentral.
CUACGUGCCAGCAGCCGCGGUAAUACGUAGGUCCCGAGCGUUGUCCGGAUUUAUUGGGCGUAAAGCGAGCGCAGGCGGUUAGAUAAGUCUGAAGUUAAAGGCUGUGGCUUAACCAUAGUACGCUUUGGAAACUGUUUAACUUGAGUGCAAGAGGGGAGAGUGGAAUUCCAUGUGUAGCGGUGAAAUGCGUAGAUAUAUGGAGGAACACCGGUGGCGAAAGCGGCUCUCUGGCUUGUAACUGACGCUGAGGCUCGAAAGCGUGGGGAGCAAACAGGAUUAGAUACCCCGGUAGUCCUGGCCGUAAACGAUGGGUACUAGGUGUAGGAGGUAUCGACCCCUUCUGUGCCGGAGUUAACGCAAUAAGUACCCCGCCUGGGGAGUACGACCGCAAGGUUGAAACUCAAAGGAAUUGACGGGGGCCCGCACAAGCGGUGGAGUAUGUGGUUUAAUUCGACGCAACGCGAAGAACCUUACCAGGUCUUGACAUUGAUGGACAGAACUAGAGAUAG